AGGACGAACGCUGGCGGCGUGCCUAACACAUGCAAGUGGAGCGACGAACCAGGCUUCGGCCUGGGGCAAAGCCGCGAACGGGUGAGUAACACGUGGGUAACCUGCCCCGAUGAUUGGAACAACCCGAGGAAACUCGGGCUAAUACCGAAUGUGCCCUCCGACCAUAAGGUCGCUGGGGAAAGGAAGCUUCGGCCUUCGCAUCGGGAUGGGCCCGCGGCCCAUUAGCUUGUUGGUGAGGUAACGGCUCACCAAGGCAACGAUGGGUAGCUGGUCUGAGAGGACGACCAGCCACACUGGGACUGAGACACGGCCCAGACACCUACGGUGGCAGCAGUCGAGAAUUUUUCUCAAUGGGGGAAACCCUGAAGGAGCGACGCCGCGUGGAGGAUGAAGGUCUUCGGGUUGUAAACUCCUGUCAUUUGGGAACAAGGCGUAGGUAUUAACUGUAUCUACGUUGAUAGUACCAGAAGAGGAAGAGACGGCUAACUCUGUGCCAGCAGCCGCGGUAA
Molecule: ribosomal RNA, 509 nt
Filed under: uncultured bacterium
Lineage: Bacteria
Description: SSU rRNA
Rfam family: Bacterial small subunit ribosomal RNA
Source: RNAcentral